This 253-nucleotide ribosomal RNA is filed under the name uncultured bacterium. RNAcentral's name for it is "partial 16S ribosomal RNA". It matches the Rfam family "Bacterial small subunit ribosomal RNA", at positions 524 to 776 of the family's 1533-position model. The record is from RNAcentral.
UACAGGGGGUGCAAACGUUGCUCGGAAUUAUUGGGCGUAAAGCGCGCGUAGGCGGCUACUUAAGUCGGAUGUGAAAGCCCCUGGCUCAACUGGGGAAGUGCACCCGAAACUGAGUAGCUUGAGUGCAAAAGAGGGCCGCGGAAUUCCCGGUGUAGAGGUGAAAUUCGUAGAUAUUCGCAAGAACACCAGUGGCGAAGGCGGCUCACUGGCCCGGUACUGACGCUGAGGCACGAAAGCGUGGGGAGCAAACAGG